GAACUACUCAUGUUGAAGCUCAAAUGGAAGAGUGAUUCAUACUUUAGCUGGUCAGACUGGUGGAGCAGUCCCGGCUUCGCCAUUCAGAAGAUCAGAGUAAAAGCAGGAGAGACUCAGAAAAAGGUGAUCUUCUGUUCUAGGGAGAAAGUGUCUCAUUUGCAGAAAGGAAAGGCACCUGCGGUAUUUGUGAAAUGCCAUGACAAGUCUCUGAAUAAGAAGUCAGGCUGAAGAUAAUAAAUUGCCCUUUUUCCUGUGCUUUUUCUCAGAAACUGGGCGAAUCUACAGAACAAAGAACGGCAUGUGAAUUCUGUGAAGAAUGAAGUGGAGGAAGUAACUUUUACAAAACAUACCCAGUGUUUGGGGUGUUUCAAAAGUGGAUUUUCCUGAAUAUUAAUCCCAGCCCUACCCUUGUUAGUUAUUUUAGGAGACAGUCUCAAGCACUAAAAAGUGGCUAAUUCAAUUUAUGGGGUAUAGUGGCCAAAUAGCACAUCCUCCAACGUUAAAAGACAGUGGAUCAUGAAAAGUGCUGUUUUGUCCUUUGAGAAAGAAAUAAUUGUUUGAGCGCAGAGUAAAAUAAGGCUCCUUCAUGUGGCGUAUUGGGCCAUAGCCUAUAAUUGGUUAGAACCUCCUAUUUUAAUUGGAAUUCUGGAUCUUUCGGACUGAGGCCUUCUCAAACUUUACUCUAAGUCUCCAAGAAUACAGAAAAUGCUUUUCCGCGGCACGAAUCAGACUCAUCUACACAGCAGUAUGAAUGAUGUUUUAGAAUGAUUCCCUCUUGCUAUUGGAAUGUGGUCCAGACGUCAACCAGGAACAUGUAACUUGGAGAGGGACGAAGAAAGGGUCUGAUAAACACAGAGGUUUUAAACAGUCCCUACCAUUGGCCUGCAUCAUGACAAAGUUACAAAUUCAAGGAGAUAUAAAAUCUAGAUCAAUUAAUUCUUAAUAGGCUUUAUCGUUUAUUGCUUAAUCCCUCUCUCCCCCUUCUUUUUUGUCUCAAGAUUAUAUUAUAAUAAUGUUCUCUGGGUAGGUGUUGAAAAUGAGCCUGUAAUCCUCAGCUGACACAUAAUUUGAAUGGUGC
RNAcentral lists this long non-coding RNA (1078 nucleotides) under Homo sapiens (human). RNAcentral describes it as "HSALNT0133786". The record is from RNAcentral. Lineage: Eukaryota; Metazoa; Chordata; Mammalia; Primates; Hominidae.